Molecule: small RNA, 2083 nt
Filed under: Pan troglodytes (chimpanzee)
Lineage: Eukaryota; Metazoa; Chordata; Mammalia; Primates; Hominidae
Description: retained intron
Source: RNAcentral
GGGGAUCCGUGCUGCCAUGGAGCGUGCCGGCAAGCAGGAGAUGCUGCUGAAGCCACAUAGCCGUGUCCAGGUAUUCGAGGGUGCGGAGGACAAUCUCCCGGACCGCGAUGCGCUGCGGGCUGCACUGGCCAUCCAGCAACUGGCCGAGGGACUCACAGCUGAUGACCUGCUGCUCGUGCUGAUCUCAGGUGUGGUACCACAUUGGCCCAAGACUGUUGGUGGGGGGUGCACCACCUGAUCUCUCAGGUCUUCGAGAGAUCAGGUCUGAGCCCCCGGGGUCACAGGGUAAAGUUAGGAGCAAGGGAGGUGGUAAGGAGCCUGGAUGGUGACUCCUGGGUUGCCUUGGGCUAGUCGUCUGGCCUCCCCUGAGCUGUGGAGUCCUCCCCCUGAGCUGACCUUUUCGGUGACAGUGAGAGGGUGCAUGGGGAGCACAUAAUGCAGGGCCUGACACAUCCAUAGAGUCCUUGGAAAAUGUCACUGCUAUUGCUGCUGUCUGUACUAAUGUCACCUGGGGCUAGGCCCUCAGACCUCAUGGAGUCCUCUCCUUGAUCUUCCAUUGUGUGCCCCCUGCCCUGCCUCCUGUUCUAGUCUCUUAAGGAGUAGUUAGUUCUUCCGGUGCCUACUGGGACCUGGGGUACCCCAAGGCAGGGGCAACCUCAGGUGGCCAGGAUGUGGUGACUGUACACAUAUUGCAUAUCCACAGGGGGGCACCCUAACCCCACCUUUCCAGCCCCCUUUUUCUAAUGUGGGCUUGUCACCCCUGCUUGCCUGGUUCCCUGGGUUGGGAUAGCCCCUCUGCCUGAUACCCUCAUUGUCUUGGGAGGUGGGGGUUCAGCUCUGCUGCCUGCCCCCAUCCCACCUGUCACACUGGAGGAGAAGCAGACACUCACUAGACUGCUGGCAGCCCGUGGAGCCACCAUCCAGGAGUUGAACACCAUUCGGAAGGCCCUGUCCCAGCUCAAGGGUGGGGGGCUGGCUCAGGCCGCCUACCCUGCCCAGGUGGUGAGCCUCAUCCUGUCAGAUGUGGUGGGGGACCCUGUGGAGGUGAUUGCCAGUGGCCCCACCGUGGCCAGUUCCCACAAUGUGCAAGAUUGCCUGCAUAUCCUCAAUCGCUACGGCCUCCGUGCAGCCCUGCCACGUUCUGUGAAGACUGUGCUGUCUCGGGCCGACUCUGACCCCCAUGGGCCACACACCUGUGGCCAUGUCCUGAAUGUGAUCAUUGGCUCUAAUGUGCUGGCGCUAGCUGAGGCCCAGCGGCAGGCCGAGGCACUGGGUUACCAGGCUGUGGUGCUGAGUGCAGCCAUGCAAGGUGAUGUAAAAAGUAUGGCCCAGUUCUACGGGCUGCUGGCCCAUGUGGCUAGAACCCGCCUCACCCCAUCCAUGGCUGGGGCUUCUGUGGAGGAAGAUGCACAGCUCCAUGAGCUGGCAGCUGAGCUUCAGAUCCCAGACCUGCAGCUGGAGGAGGCUCUGGAGACCAUGGCACGGGGAAGGGGCCCAGUCUGCCUGCUGGCUGGUGGCGAGCCCACAGUACAGCUGCAGGGCUCGGGCAGGGGUGGCCGGAACCAGGAACUGGCCCUGCGUGUUGGAGCAGAGUUGAGAAGGUGGCCGCUGGGGCCGAUAGAUGUGCUGUUUUUGAGCGGUGGCACCGAUGGGCAGGAUGGGCCCACAGAGGCUGCUGGGGCCUGGGUCACACCUGAGCUUGCCAGCCAGGCUGCAGCUGAGGGCCUGGACAUAGCCACCUUCCUAGCCCACAAUGACUCACAUACCUUCUUCUGCCGCCUCCAGGGUGGGGCACACCUGCUGCACACAGGGAUGACAGGUACCAAUGUCAUGGACACCCACCUCUUGUUCCUGCGGCCUCGGUGAUGGCAUAGGUCACAUUUUGGGAGUUCAGAGGAGGCCUACAAGGGCAAGCCAGACUGGCAGAUGGGGGCUUCCCCCUACCCCUGAGGAUGAGGACAAGCCCCUCGGCCAGUUCAGUGUUCCCGUGCUUCUCCCUUGGGCAGCCUCUCUCUUGAGCCCCUCACCCUGUUUCUUUCUGUGAAGCGAGAAUGUCUGAAAAUAAAUAGGACCAUGCCAUGGG